This 64-nucleotide transfer RNA is filed under the name Lithoredo abatanica. Its description in RNAcentral is "tRNA-Tyr". Lineage: Eukaryota; Metazoa; Mollusca; Bivalvia; Myida; Teredinidae. The record is from RNAcentral.
GGGAGGGCGGCCGUAGAGGUGUUAAGUUGUAGCCUUAGUUAUGAGAUGGGUAUCUCUCUUCCUA